This 468-nucleotide ribosomal RNA is filed under the name uncultured bacterium. RNAcentral describes it as "bacterial SSU rRNA". It matches the Rfam family "Bacterial small subunit ribosomal RNA", at positions 28 to 523 of the family's 1533-position model. The record is from RNAcentral.
GAUGAACGCUGGCGGCGUGCCUAACACAUGCAAGUCGAGCGAUUCUCUUCGGAGAAGAGCGGCGGACGGGUGAGUAACGCGUGGGUAACCUGCCCUGUACACACGGAUAACAUACCGAAAGGUAUGCUAAUACGAGAUAAUAUACUUUUAUCGCAUGGUAGAAGUAUCAAAGCUUUUGCGGUACAGGAUGGACCCGCGUCUGAUUAGCUAGUUGGUAAGGUAACGGCUUACCAAGGCGACGAUCAGUAGCCGACCUGAGAGGGUGAUCGGCCACAUUGGAACUGAGACACGGUCCAAACUCCUACGGGAGGCAGCAGUGGGGAAUAUUGCACAAUGGGCGAAAGCCUGAUGCAGCAACGCCGCGUGAGCGAUGAAGGCCUUCGGUCGUAAGACUCUGUCCUCAAGGAAGAUAAUGACGGUACUUGAGGAGGAAGCCCCGGCUAACUACGUAGCCAGCAGCCGCGGUAA